This 253-nucleotide ribosomal RNA is filed under the name uncultured bacterium. RNAcentral's name for it is "partial 16S rRNA". It matches the Rfam family "Bacterial small subunit ribosomal RNA", at positions 256 to 502 of the family's 1533-position model. The record is from RNAcentral.
GGUAACGGCCUACCAAGGCUACGAUGGGUAACCGGCCUGAGAGGGUGACCGGUCACACUGGGACUGAGAUACGGCCCAGACUCCUACGGGAGGCAGCAGCUUGGAAUUUUUCGCAAUGGGCGCAAGCCUGACGGAGCGACACCGCGUGAGUGAGGAAGGCCUUCGGGUCGUAAAGCUCUUUUAGGGGGGAAGAAAAAGCACGGUGAUAAUACCGCCGUGCCUUGACGUACCCCCAGAAAAAGCCACGCUAACU